Molecule: ribosomal RNA, 497 nt
Filed under: uncultured bacterium
Lineage: Bacteria
Description: partial 16S ribosomal RNA
Rfam family: Bacterial small subunit ribosomal RNA
Source: RNAcentral
ACUCAAAUGAAUUGACGGGGGCCCGCACAAGCGGCGGAGCAUGUGGAUUAAUUCGAUGCAACGCGAAGAACCUUACCAAGGCUUGACAUAUACCGGAAACGUAUAGAGAUAUGCGCCCCGCAAGGUCGGUAUACAGGUGGUGCAUGGUUGUCGUCAGCUCGUGUCGUGAGAUGUUGGGUUAAGUCCCGCAACGAGCGCAACCCUCGUUCUAUGUUGCCAGCGCGUAAUGGCGGGGACUCAUAGGAGACUGCCGGGGUCAACUCGGAGGAAGGUGGGGAUGACGUCAAAUCAUCAUGCCCCUUAUGUCUUGGGCUUCACACAUGCUACAAUGGCCGGUACAAAGGGCUGCAAAACCGCAAGGUUGAGCGAAUCCCAUAAAGCCGGUCUCAGUUCGGAUUGGGGUCUGCAACUCGACCCCAUGAAGUCGGAGUCGCUAGUAAUCGCAGAUCAGCAACGCUGCGGUGAAUACGUUCCCGGGCCUUGUACACACCGCCCGU